This 280-nucleotide ribosomal RNA is filed under the name uncultured Ascomycota. RNAcentral's name for it is "partial 18S ribosomal RNA". It matches the Rfam family "Eukaryotic small subunit ribosomal RNA", at positions 548 to 834 of the family's 1831-position model. The record is from RNAcentral. Lineage: Eukaryota; Fungi; Ascomycota.
UUGGAGGGCAAGUCUGGUGCCAGCAGCCGCGGUAAUUCCAGCUCCAAUAGCGUAUAUUAAAGUUGUUGUGGUUAAAAAGCUCGUAGUUGAACCUUGGGCCUGGCUGGCCGGUCCGCCUCACCGCGUGUACUGGUCCGGCCGGGCCUUUCCCUCUGUGGAACCCCAUGCCCUUCACUGGGUGUGGCGGGGAAACGGGACUUUUACUGUGAAAAAAUUAGAGUGCUCCAGGCAGGCCUAUGCUCGAAUACAUUAGCAUGGAAUAAUAGAAUAGGACGUGUGG